Acanthopagrus latus (yellowfin seabream) is the source of this 1203-nucleotide long non-coding RNA. RefSeq lists it as uncharacterized. NCBI's taxonomy places the organism in Eukaryota, Metazoa, Chordata, Actinopteri, Spariformes, Sparidae. The transcript has 3 exons. The record is from RefSeq and is a predicted model, not a curated record.
CCUUUAUUUAUCCUUGUUGUUUGACCUGCAAACUCACAUUGAUUUGAUUGAGAAAUCAGUUUUCCUGCUGUAGGAAAGAAAUGUACAUAAAUAAUCUACCCUGUAAAGUGUUUUAAAACUGUUAUACUGUCAAUAGGGCUGCCAACUCUGAACCCAAAGAGUUCUGGAAAGAUAUCACGGGCCAAGUUACUGCCGUGCAGCAAGGAGUGGAAAGGGUGAUGAAUCUGCUCCUGAGUCUCUCCACCUGCAACAGUGGACAGGAAUUAGGACAGAUUGACACAACUGUUUGUGGCAAAAAUCAACUUCAAAACAUCAAGUCAUCUGCUACAACUGUAUGUGAAUGGCUGUGCAGUGUGUCAAAUAGAAUAGAGAGUGAUGUAGUGCCCCCUGGUGGUCUGUAGGUCUGCUCCCUUUAUACAGAUACAUGGAUAGAUGAGAAUGCAAGUUUGUGUAACCGUGCUGGACAUGAGCCAAGUCCUUGCCAGUGACAGGGUUUCAGUGACCUUUAGGGAGCUAAAUUGGAGCUCUCCAUCAUUUUUUAGCUUGUAGUGUUCUGUUUGUCCCAGAGCAAUGUUAGCUUGUCCUCUGUCCCCUCAUCUGUCUGUACUUUGGAGAUUUAUCUGAGUCAUAGAGCAGUGUGUCUGGAAAGGUGUCAGGGAAAAGUUAAGAUUUCUUGUCAUUUUUCUUGUCAUUCUGUCAAACAGUUGUUUUUUUUUAAAUUGAAGAUGAAUUUGGCAGGUAAAACCCAUUAAAUCCAUUACUUAUCGAAGAGUUGCCUAUAUUGGGAACAGAAAUCGCAUCCAUUUAUAUGUGCUAUUCCACUAGAUGCGCCUCUGUAUCAUUCAGUAACACACUGCUAAACCAUUUGCAGCCAUACUGAAGAAAUCAUUGCUCAGUAGUGCUUCAGUAACACUAAUGCUGUUUAGUGGCUCUUUAAUAUGAAACAGAAAUAUUUUCCCUCUCAUAACCUGAUAAGUAGGUCUCACAGCCAAGAAUAUCAAAAGCAUUUUGAAACUGUAUUCAUCUUCGUUCCACAGUGACAGUGAAGAUAAAUAGUGUCAAAAUGUUUUUUGACAAACCUUAGUAACUAAAAUAUUGCAGGCAGAAGCACAAACAUGCCACAGCGCCUCUGUGUCCUUAUUAAUGUUCCUUUUUGUCACCUUUUCUCUUUCCCACUUUUUCCUUACUCCCCUUGUUUCUCCC